UAGGGAAUCCUCCACAAUGGGCGCAAGCCUGAUGGAGCAACACCGCGUGAGUGAAGAAGGGUUUCGGCUCGUAAAGCUCUGUUGUUAAAGAAGAACGUGGGUAAGAGUAACUGUUUACCCAGUGACGGUAUUUAACCAGAAAGCCACGGCUAACUACGUGCCAG
RNAcentral lists this ribosomal RNA (164 nucleotides) under uncultured bacterium. RNAcentral describes it as "partial 16S ribosomal RNA". It matches the Rfam family "Bacterial small subunit ribosomal RNA", at positions 355 to 511 of the family's 1533-position model. The record is from RNAcentral.